AAAUUGAAGAGUUUGAUCAUGGCUCAGAUUGAACGCUGGCGGCAGGCCUAACACAUGCAAGUCGAACGGUAACAGGAAGCAGCUUGCUGCUUCGCUGACGAGUGGCGGACGGGUGAGUAAUGUCUGGGAAACUGCCUGAUGGAGGGGGAUAACUACUGGAAACGGUGGCUAAUACCGCAUAAUGUCGCAGGACCAAAGAGGGGGACCUUCGGGCCUCUUGCCAUCAGAUGUGCCCAGAUGGGAUUAGCUUGUUGGUGAGGUAACGGCUCACCAAGGCGACGAUCCCUAGCUGGUCUGAGAGGAUGACCAGCCACACUGGAACUGAGACACGGUCCAGACUCCUACGGGAGGCAGCAGUGGGGAAUAUUGCACAAUGGGCGCAAGCCUGAUGCAGCCAUGCCGCGUGUAUGAAGAAGGCCUUCGGGUUGUAAAGUACUUUCAGCGGGGAGGAAGGUG
This 456-nucleotide ribosomal RNA is filed under the name Salmonella enterica. RNAcentral's name for it is "bacterial SSU rRNA". It matches the Rfam family "Bacterial small subunit ribosomal RNA", at positions 1 to 453 of the family's 1533-position model. The record is from RNAcentral. Lineage: Bacteria; Pseudomonadati; Pseudomonadota; Gammaproteobacteria; Enterobacterales; Enterobacteriaceae.